UUCCUUUUGGUGAAAUAGGGUCUUCUGUGAGGUUUGACAGCAUGGGUAAGAUAUAAGAAACCAUGCUUUAAAGUUCAUAUUACAAAUUUGGGCACAUUUGCUAUCAUUCCACAUAGCAAAUAAAAAAUCUUGUCACUAGAUGAGGGGCUUUUAGACAAGAAAAUACGCAUGUAAUAUACAAACUAUAUUUUGUAAUUAUACUUGGAUACUAAUUUGUAAGUUGUGUGUCUAGGUGUGAAUAGCAAAAUUAUGGCAGAAAAAUUUUCAAGAAUAAGUUGGCACUUGUAAAUAUAUCGUAAAAGAAGAAUAAUGUUUUCUGGUGAUAAUCCAGGUACAUAUGUAUUAUUUUGUUCAGUUCUUGUAUUUUUAUUGUCACUCUAUCUGUCAAGGAUGAUUUGGCGCAUUGUCCCUGUAUCUCCUAUUUUUCCCUCAAAUACAUUCUCAUCCAGCUCUAUGCCCCAUGAGACUGACUGUGUGGCCGACAUUAAUGGGCUCCCUUACCCAUCAGCUUCCUGUUUGGCUAAGCAAAUGAGGGUCUGCAGAAAGAGAUCAGAGCUGGAGGAGAAUGAGGUCCUCUCUGUCCUCUCUGUGGCUUGCUCAGGUCUACUAACUUUCUACCAUUGACCGCAGGUAGAAACUCCUGAGGGAUAACUCCUCACAGUGCUCUCUCUCCAUUUCCAUUAAUGUAGCCUCUCUUCUCUGCCUGAGAGCUACACAUGAUAAAAGCGUCAGGUGUUAUUGGACCCAGGUUAUUGCAAUUUCUUUGGUGCUUCCCCUACAUCCUAUCCACAUCUUUGUAAGUAAGUGGGCCCUCUAUUAUACUCUCCACAAACUAUACGAUUUGAGUGUCACAUAUUUCUUGUCAAUACCAGACAGAUCCACAUACUCAUGCAGAAUAUGAUAGGAUAAACUUGAGUUUCCCCUUAUCUGUGUCUCCACAGACUGGGCCAUUCUUUGAUUCUAGGAAAUUGAUCCAUGUCCAUUUUAGAAUUCCCUCCCUCAACUCCAUGGACACUCCCUCUUAGGCAUUGAUGAUCUCUCUUGGAAGUUUUAGUUUCGUCGCCAUUGUUUUGCUUUAGACCUUUACCAAGAAAUUAAGUCCAGCUCAAACGCAUCAUCUUCCACAGAGCUGUGCUCGUUGUUCUUUUUUCCUGCGUUCCUAGUCAGAAUUAGGUUUCCCCCUUGGUGUUAUCUUUGUAGCUCUUUGUUUAGAACGCCUCCUAGAAACAGUCUCAUUCCCUAAAAUAUUGGGGCUAUGUCUUUACUGAUAGGUUUCUUGAAACCAAAAGCUUUCAACGCGCAUGUAUUGAAUAUCAGACAAGGGUCUGUGCUAGAUGCAUGGGAACAAGGAUAUGAAAAAGAAUAAAAGGUAGUAAUUUGAAGAGUCACAGUUCCUACUGACCUUCUUUAAAAAGAAAGCUGUCAGUACCCAUCAUCUGGAUUCCUUGCUAGCACUUUUCUCCAAACACAAGUGUAAACACAUUACUAUACAACAACUCUGACCACUACUCCCACCACCAGCAAACAAAACUCACAACUAAUCUUUGAUGGAGACUUCUGUUUUCAAAAUAAAACUUAAAUUCCUGAGUACCAUAUGGAAAUACUCAAUGAAAGGGACUCCUGCCAAUCCAGGUUUAGUUUUUAUUCCACAUUAUCACCACUAUUAACCCUCACCCCAUUGGAUUGUUCAGCGUUUCGUUCCACGCCCUGUGCCUCUCAAGUUGAACGUUUCUAUUUUUUCUUAUCUUGCCCUUUACCAUAACUUCCAACUGUCAGAGGAAGGUGUUCCUACCAAGGUCCAGCCUAUCUGUCAGCUAUCCCACCAGAUCUUCCAACUCCAAUGAAUGGCAAUCCAUUACUGAGUUUUCCUUUUAUCAGUGCUAAUGGCAUGCAUAUAGUCUUCCCAAUUACAUUCUAACUUCCUUAGGUCAAAGGAUCAAACUCAUUCAUACUUGCAGACUGAUGGUACCUAGUGGAGGCCAACUUUACACAUGCAUUUUGAGCUCAGUAAAUAUUUCUAAAGUGGAAUGACUUACUAGUGAUGUAAUUAAACUUACUGCGACCUUUCUUCAGAAGAGAGUGGUAAGUUAGCUCUGCCGCAAGAGGGGUAAACAUAAAGUUAGGUAACUGUGAAUUUUAACCUUAUUAGUCUUCGUUUAAAUUAAAAACUGAAUUACUUUAGUUUCUGUCUCUGACAGAAGACUCUAGCUACCAUUUCUUCUCUUGCCAAGUAGAAUUACUCUCAGAGUCUGCAAAAGUCAAGUUAUACAGGGUUGUCUUUUUUACUCCUUUUGAAUUUUUCUUUCAUUUUCAAAACAUGAAACUUCCAAAAAUUAUUGGCAUGCAGUUUAAAAUAAUUAUGUAUUUGUGCAAAAUCUGAAAAAAUGCACUUGAAUAAGAUGCAAAUAUCCACAAUUCAUAAAAUAAUUAGUUUGGGCCCAAUUACUGCAUUUUAAAAGUAUUAAAGAGGCUUUUUUAAAACAUCUAAGGAUGUUCUUUUUUUUUUCAAAAAUAAAUCUCCAAAGCUACCUAUGGAUUUAUUGAAAUAUUUAUGAUAAAACGGAAUCCAGAAGCUUUAUGUUGGUGGCAUCAGAAAGAGGUUGAGUGAUAGACAAUGAUCUGAUUCUCAGGGUGAAUUAUUAAAAAUAUAUUCUUCUUUACAGAUCAAGAAUUGAAAGAUCAAGCAGCACAGUUCAAAAGUUGAAAGAGAUUAGAUAAAAGAUGGGUUGUGCAGAAGAACCCAAGGAACAGAUAAAACAACUAGUAAGGUGGUCACUGAAUCUCAUUGAACCAUUACCCACCCCUGACUCUGCACCGGACAUGGAGUAUACUUCCCUACCCCUUGAUUUGGGGCUCAGCAUGUGACUUGUUUUGAUCACCAGAAUUUUAGCCAAUAUGCGGCAGAGAUAUAAAAUGUGUUCUCAUGGCUGGGCUUGCUCUUUUGCAUUUCUACCAUCAUUACAAGAAGAACAAACCUGAGGCAGCCUGCAGACUUCAGGAAGAUGAGAUAUUUGUGGAGGAAACCUGUCCCAAUCAACCUACAGACCUACAGCCUAAAAGAGAACUACUCUGACAACUCAUAGACUCCAGAGUAUGAGAAUAAUGCUUCUAAGUCACUGAGGUGUAGUUUAGUGGCUUGCUGCUCAGCAUUUAUAGCAAUAGCUAUUAUAGCAAUAACUAACUGCUACAGUGAGUGUAUAAGAAUUUUUGGUGCAGUGAAUGUCAAGAAAGGUGAAUUUGCAAAGGUAUCCUAGAUGCUUUGAUGUGCCCUCAUACUUGUGUGAAGUGUUCUGCGACCACCACGGCUUCCCUGACAACCAGCCUACUCCUACCACAGGUUGGAAAACGGUGCAGCAUUAGAUUUCACUUCCCAGACCCUCUCACAGUUAUGCGUCACUAUGUAUACAGUUCUUGCCAAAGGAAUGUAUCAAAACGUUCUGUUCAACAUAAAGUAAGCCUCUUAAGGUUUGCCUACUCCCUACUCUGUUUGUCUCCCCCUGGAGUGCAGUGACAAUGAGAUGCUAAGAGACAGUGGAGUUAUUUGAGGGAAGCUUCGACCAUGUGUUGAAGAGAAGCUAACUACUCAGGAAUAGCCACCAUCUACUGUUAUGGGAGUGAAAAAUACUUUUUAUUAUAUUUGAUCCAUUAUAUAUUUUGUAUUUAUUGACAGUAUUUAUUGCUAUAACCUGUCUUCACUUAAGAAAAUGUUGGGGGGGGGGCGCCUGGGUGGCACAAU
Felis catus (domestic cat) is the source of this 3736-nucleotide long non-coding RNA. RefSeq lists it as uncharacterized. NCBI's taxonomy places the organism in Eukaryota, Metazoa, Chordata, Mammalia, Carnivora, Felidae. The record is from RefSeq and is a predicted model, not a curated record. The transcript has 3 exons.